RNAcentral lists this long non-coding RNA (232 nucleotides) under Elaeis guineensis (African oil palm). RNAcentral's name for it is "long non-coding RNA (EGUI_LNC010050)". Lineage: Eukaryota; Viridiplantae; Streptophyta; Magnoliopsida; Arecales; Arecaceae. The record is from RNAcentral.
GAGUUUAAUAUAAAUUUUAUGGGUUAAUUUGAUAUGCUAGCAUAUUGUAUUAACCCAAGUUCUCAAAUUGGUUUAGAUCAAAGUGUUUGAGAUAACCUAGACCAGUUGGCUUUGACCUAAUGGGAUUGGAUAAAUUUAGAUUGGAUCCUUAUCCAACUUGAAAGAGUUUUAAGUAGAGAAGGAGUCCUCUGUGCCUACUAGAACCCACACACAAAAAUAAAUGCUGCCCCCC